Molecule: microRNA, 21 nt
Filed under: Arabidopsis lyrata
Lineage: Eukaryota; Viridiplantae; Streptophyta; Magnoliopsida; Brassicales; Brassicaceae
Description: aly-miR3441-5p.2
Source: miRBase by way of RNAcentral
CGAAGAAAAUGAAGUCGUUUU